UUCUGCCUCAGCCUCCUGAGUAGCUAGGACUACAGGCUCCCAUGGUUCUAGGCCAUCAGAUGGGAAGUACAAUGAGGCCUGUUACUUCCAAGGAUGAUGAGAAAGCUGAGGAAACCAGUAACACAGAAACCCACUGGUCCACAGAAGGAGGUUUUCACUUACAGAGAAUCUUUACACACUGUUCACCAGCUGAUUUGAAAAUACCCACAGAAAGUUAAUUUAUACUUCAAAGAUCUCUGAAAGGCAACUCAUGCUAGGUCACCUUUGAGCUUCCCAUUGGCUGCUAAAGUUCUCUUGAUGCAUCAAUUAUAUAUGCUUCAUGACUAAACAUCACUUACAACGUUAUUCAUUAAUGUUUGCAGAACCAAAUCGAAUAGAAAAUGCCUAGAGGUGAUAUGUCUGUGACCUGCACAUUAUAACGUGCAGUUGUGAACAGACUACCUCUCUGGGAAUCUUCACGUGAAGAGGCAAUCAAAUUAACUUAUUACUCCACUGCUAAAAUAAUGCUAAGAAAGAGGUGAGAAUAAUUCUCUUUGGUGGUUUUUCCUCUAAUGAUCA
RNAcentral lists this non-coding RNA (558 nucleotides) under Pan troglodytes (chimpanzee). Lineage: Eukaryota; Metazoa; Chordata; Mammalia; Primates; Hominidae. The record is from RNAcentral.